RNAcentral lists this ribosomal RNA (253 nucleotides) under uncultured bacterium. RNAcentral describes it as "partial 16S ribosomal RNA". It matches the Rfam family "Bacterial small subunit ribosomal RNA", at positions 524 to 776 of the family's 1533-position model. The record is from RNAcentral.
UACGUAGGGUGCAAGCGUUAAUCGGAAUUACUGGGCGUAAAGCGUGCGCAGGCGGUUUUGUAAGUCUGACGUGAAAUCCCCGGGCUCAACCUGGGAAUUGCGUUGGAGACUGCAAGGCUAGAAUCUGGCAGAGGGGGGUAGAAUUCCACGUGUAGCAGUGAAAUGCGUAGAGAUGUGGAGGAACACCGAUGGCGAAGGCAGCCCCCUGGGUCAAGAUUGACGCUCAUGUACGAAAGCGUGGGGAGCAAACAGG